AGAGUUUGAUCCUGGCUCAGGACGAACGCUGGCGGCGUGCUUAACACAUGCAAGUCGAACGAUGACGAUGGUGCUUGCACCGUCUGAUUAGUGGCGAACGGGUGAGUAACACGUGAGUAACCUGCCCUCCUCUUCGGGAUAACCGCCGGAAACGGUGGCUAAUACCGGAUAUGAAUGCCUGCCGCAUGGUGGGUGUUGGAAAGAUUUAUCGGUGGGGGAUGGACUCGCGGCCUAUCAGUUUGUUGGUGAGGUAAUGGCUCACCAAGGCGAUGACGGGUAGCCGGCCUGAGAGGGCGACCGGCCACACUGGGACUGAGACACGGCCCAGACUCCUACGGGAGGCAGCAGUGGGGAAUAUUGCACAAUGGGCGAAAGCCUGAUGCAGCGACGCCGCGUGGGGGAUGACGGCCUUCGGGUUGUGAACCUCUUUCANUAGGGAAGAAGCGAGAGUGACGGUACCUGCAGAAGAAGCGCCGGCUAACUACGUGCCAGCAGCCGCGGUAAUACGUAGGGCGCAAGCGUUGUCCGGAAUUAUUGGGCGUAAAGAGCUUGUAGGUGGCUUGUCGCGUCUGCCGUGAAAACCCGAGGCUCAACCUCGGGCGUGCGGUGGGUAC
RNAcentral lists this ribosomal RNA (614 nucleotides) under uncultured bacterium. RNAcentral describes it as "bacterial SSU rRNA". It matches the Rfam family "Bacterial small subunit ribosomal RNA", at positions 8 to 633 of the family's 1533-position model. The record is from RNAcentral.